This is a non-coding RNA of Mycena vitilis, 100 nucleotides long. The record is from the annotation of a GenBank genome assembly. NCBI's taxonomy places the organism in Eukaryota, Fungi, Basidiomycota, Agaricomycetes, Agaricales, Mycenaceae.
GCAUCGAUGGUGUACGGAACACGCACCAGUAUAAUACGUCCCAGGACAGGUCCUUCUGGCAUUAUAAUGGUGAGGCGGGGUUCGACUCCCCCUCGGUGCA